GAUGAACGCUGGCGGCGUGCCUAAUACGUGCAAGUCGAGCGAACAGAUGAGGAGCUUGCUCCUCUGACGUUAGCGGCGGACGGGUGAGUAACACGUGGAUAACCUACCUAUAAGACUGGGAUAACUUCGGGAAACCGGAGCUAAUACCGGAUAAUAUAUUGAACCGCAUGGUUCAAUAGUGAAAGACGGUUUUGCUGUCACUUAUAGAUGGAUCCGCGCCGCAUUCGCUAGUUGGUAAGGUAACGGCUUACCAAGGCAACGAUGCGUAGCCGACCUGAGAGGGUGAUCGGCAACACUGGAACUAAGACACGGUCCAGACCCCUACGGGAGGCAGGAGUAGGGAAUCUUCCGCAAUGGGCGAAAGCCUGACGGAGCAACGCCGCGUGAGUGAUGAAGGGCUUCGGAUCGUAAAACUCUGUUAUUAGGGAAGAACAAAUGUGUAAGUAACUAUGCACGUCUUGACGGUACCUAAUCAGAAAGCCACGGCAAACUACGU
Molecule: ribosomal RNA, 496 nt
Filed under: uncultured bacterium
Lineage: Bacteria
Description: partial 16S ribosomal RNA
Rfam family: Bacterial small subunit ribosomal RNA
Source: RNAcentral